Brassica oleracea var. oleracea is the source of this 1614-nucleotide long non-coding RNA. RefSeq lists it as uncharacterized. Lineage: Eukaryota; Viridiplantae; Streptophyta; Magnoliopsida; Brassicales; Brassicaceae. The record is from RefSeq and is a predicted model, not a curated record. The transcript is spliced from 5 exons.
UGUGGAAGAGCCGUCUCUUCUCUUCAUCUCUCCGUCUCUAUCUCUUCCUCUCUAUCUCUUCCUCCCUGUCUCUCUCCUCUCUGUCUCUCUCCCGAUGAUGAAUCCACAAGGCCAUCUCGAACCUGAUUCCGAACCUCCUCCGACGAUUCCUUCGAGUCGGUGGGUGUUGAGAUGAGGAAUGGUGAAGAAACUAAAUGUGUUUUCCCCAUGACGAGUCUCCAGAUCGGAGACUUGCAAUCAUAUCUUUCUGAUCUCAGUAUUUUCAUGGCCAAUAAAAGCAAGAAGAUUUACAUAUUGGUAGACAACCGGCCAUGGUUGAAUCCUGGCACCCGAUCUGCUCACUUCUGGAAACUUAUGGUUACAAAGUCCAGACUCUCUUUGACUCGCGUUGAUCGACGCCACAACCUUUUCCAAGAACAAAAAUACCUGCAAAGAAACUGCAAAGCUCUUUGUAUCUAAACAAGCAGCUGCACAAGACAUUGUACUGUUUCAUCGUGUUUGAAGUUGAGUGGGAGAAUGUGAGGGGUAUCAAUUACCUGAAUGAGCUACAGACAGACACCUCUCUUGCUAUUGAAGCUAAGUUGAUGCGAAGGUGGGAGUUCGAGAGCAGCUGCACAAGACAUUGUACGGUUUCAUCGUGCUUGAAGUUGAGUGGGACAAUGUGAGGGGUAUCAAUUACCUGAAUGAGCUACAUACAGACACCUCUCUUGCUAUUGAAGCUAAGUUGAUAUGAAGGUGGGAGUUCGAGAGCAUCGACCAAGCUGUAACGAAUAUGUCUCAGUGGUUCUCUGGAUCAAAAUCAGAAAGAUCUUGCUUGAUGGAAUAUCUUGAUACAACUAAAGGUAUUAUUCCCUUUUCACUAAUGGCUUAUCGUUCUCUAGAUCAAGUAAGCUUACACAAUAUUGUUCCCUUGUAAUCUUCUCUAUAUUAAGUUUUGGUAAAACCAAACAAUUUGAUCACAAAUUUUCUUUUUCUCUCAUUCUUUCUAUAAAGUCAUAUUCUCUUUUCUCAUUCUCUAUAUAAAGGGUUAAAUCAUUUUCUAUAUAAACCGAAUAAUUUUUUUUUAAGAACUCUUAAUUAAGGGAGUAUCAUUGGAGCAUAUAAAUGUUGAUGUCUCUUAACUAAGUUCUUAAGUAACAUUUAUUAUUAAAAAAAAUCAUUAAGAGACCCUAAUGGGGUUGUAAGGUUAAUCAUGCUCUUAGUGCUUUAAAAGGAGGCAGUAAGGCUUCAGAAUGGUGAUGUGGUUUGUCUAUGUGCUAGCCAAAGUGAACUUGGUAGAGUGAGCAUCUGCUGUUAAGCUCUGCCAGUUAGUGUUAUCUUGACUCAUGUCGGAUCUAGGUUUUGUUGUUGAACGUCGUUGCUUAGACUUUCAAGGCAACCUUCGACGCAGCCUCUACUAUCUGCUUAGAUGAAUGAUUCUUUGUUUGUUUUACGAGAGGAAAUAACUUUCUUUUGCUACAUAAGCAUUUGUUAAAUCUUUUUCUUGUAUCUCCUUUUGACUCGUUUAUGGCUUCGGCUUUAUUCGAUUCUAAGUUAUUAUCGUUACUUUUACAUUCUAAUGCUAGCAAACAGAUGUGUUUGAGUCUUAAUUGUCUUUAUUUCCAUGUUUUGUUU